CAGAAGUGUAUAAUAAAUUAUGUUUUAAUAAUUGUGACAUGACAAACUGUGUAAACAUAAGAAAUUUAUCACCAAAAAAAAUAAAUGAUGUUAAUUUAGUUCUUAUUGAUACAAAUAGAGAUAUUACAAAUAUGAAAAAAAAAAGUACGACAUUUCCGUUAAACCGUGUAGACGCAUUUACAUUUUUGUAUAAUAACAACGGUAAUAAUAAUUCUGAAAAAGUUUGUAAUUACAUGUUGAAAGAAGAAAAAAUAAUUAAUAAAGAACAAAGUAACGAUACAAAUUGGGAAAUACAUUAUGCAGCAAAUAGAACAAAGGGUCUUAAAGAAAAUCAGAUCUUAUGUUAUGACCAAACAGAAAACAAAAGUUAUAAAGAAUAUAUUGAAAAUAAUAAAAAAUAUUCAAAUUUUAAUAAUCAGUUAAUUAUGUAUAAUUAUGCUAAUAAUAAUGAUAGCAAUAGUGAUAACAAUAGUGAUAAUAAACCUAAUGAAAACAUGGCAAAUGAAAAUGUUUUAAAAAAAAAACCAGAAUGUUCAGAAUCAUUAGAAUGUAAUUUUUUUACAGAUAACAUGAGUACAAAUAAAAAAAAUGCUUCAUUAAAUAACGAAAUGGGUGUUGACAUUUUGGAUAAUAUAAAGAAUAAAAUUUUAUUAACAAAUGAUAAGUGUAGUGGUACUGUUGGUAGUAGUACUGUUGGUAAUAAUGAUCAUACUACUAAUACAUAUCAAGACGAUCACAAUGGCGAAUGCUAUAAUGUAAUAGUCACAAAUGAGAAAGGUAAAAGUGAUACUUAUAAUGAUUAUGUAAAUGGUUGUAAUAAUUUUGAUGAAAACUUUGUAUUUAAUGAAAAUGUAAGAACUGGUGAUAAAAAAUGUAAGAGAGAUAGUAGAGUAAGUAGUAGGGAUAGUACUAGGGUCAGUAGUAUGGGAAGUAGUAGAGGCAAUAGUAAGGACAGUAACAUUGACAUUAGAAAAUAUAGUGAUUAUAAAAAUAUUGUUAAUAAAAAAGAAAAAAAAAAAAUGAAUAGAUCAAAUUCAUGUUAUGAGAGUUUCGUUUUGCCAACUAACUACUAUUUUUCUAGUCCCAACCACUAUCCAGCAAAAUUAUUUGAUGAUAUUUCAGAAAAAAACGAAGAAAUAAAUACUAUUAACAGUUAUAAAAAUUUGAAUAUACCAAAUAGUAACAACAACUUUAUGUAUCUAACUAACAAUAAUACAAAUUGUUUUAACGAUUUUAAUAAUAGUUUUAAUAUGAUUGAAAAUAAUUAUGAAUAUGCAGAAUCAAGUAUUAACAAACAAGACAUACAAUAUGGAAAACUCGAACUAAAAAUGAAUAGUAUGUAUAAUAAUGAUAGUAGCAAUACUAAAAGCA
RNAcentral lists this long non-coding RNA (1371 nucleotides) under Piliocolobus tephrosceles (Ugandan red Colobus). RNAcentral's name for it is "lncRNA (ENSPTEG00000006380.1)". The record is from RNAcentral. Lineage: Eukaryota; Metazoa; Chordata; Mammalia; Primates; Cercopithecidae.